AGACUGUUCACAUCUAAUGAGUAUGAGGUCUUGAGAGCAGUGCUGUGCUGGCUGUACCUGCAGUUAAAUCCCCUCAGACAGACCCUAACAGCCCACAGCACCAUCAUCACCUUGUUCUCCAAGGAAACGGCUGUUUUCUUGGAACAGCCUCAGGGUCAAAAAUACAUCACAAUCUUUCAAGCCCUUCGUAUGCAUGGCAUUACUGAAUCUGCUUGGACUCUCAUUCUGACGGCAC
Molecule: long non-coding RNA, 235 nt
Organism: Cyprinus carpio (common carp)
Lineage: Eukaryota; Metazoa; Chordata; Actinopteri; Cypriniformes; Cyprinidae
Source: RefSeq, a predicted model, not a curated record